AAUCAUACACAGUGUAAUCAAUCUGCUCCCAGAAGCUAAGCUGAGUUAGUUCAGGGUAGUAUUUGGAUGUGAGAAAUAUCAAGAGUUUGAUUGUGUGAUUC
Molecule: ribosomal RNA, 101 nt
Organism: Cricetulus griseus (Chinese hamster)
Lineage: Eukaryota; Metazoa; Chordata; Mammalia; Rodentia; Cricetidae
Source: Ensembl